RNAcentral lists this long non-coding RNA (690 nucleotides) under Anolis carolinensis (green anole). Its description in RNAcentral is "lncRNA (ENSACAG00000041820.1)". The record is from RNAcentral. Lineage: Eukaryota; Metazoa; Chordata; Lepidosauria; Squamata; Anolidae.
UCAAUUUUUCUGGCCAUGGUAAAUUUGGCCCAGUAGGGGGCAAUCCUGCCAAAGAACUUUAUCAACAUUUCAUUUCACUUCAUUUCUUCCCAAGUCCAUUGCAAAACAUAUCUUUGAAAUCAGCAGACCAGUCUAAAGGUUUUUUGCUUAAUGGGUUCAACCUUUCAUAAAGGAAACUGAAAAAUCCAACUACUAGGAGCGUCUCCUAGUGAAAACUCUUGUGUUCCCAAUAUUGGACACAGACCAGAGAGUAACUGCAACCAUAGACUAAUUACAUCAACUUUCCUUGGGUUACCUUUGAGCUCCCAAACCUUUUUAGACGGGAAAACCAAUAACUACAACAUGUGGACCUGGAUGAACAGGGCAAGAAGAAAGAAGAACUACUGGCAUAUCAUGGAGUUGUGCUGAAGGACACAGAGUGUUAGAGAGGGAGGUCAGCUGUUACCAACAGUGCUAUGGAGUUUGAAGAGGUGCAAGCAGAGGCAAAAGGAAGAAACGUGUCAAGAGGAAGGCAGGUCAAGCAAACCCAUACCAGGACCAUCACCCAUCUGGAAAUUCAUUACCUCCUCCGAAUGAACUCCAAAAGAAGCUGCUGAGACAUCGUGACUAGAAUAUCAACGGGAUCUCUCUUUUGCUUUUUCCCCCCCUAUAAGAGACAAUUGUGAUUAAACUGAUGUAACUAGCCACCAG